Molecule: ribosomal RNA, 242 nt
Filed under: uncultured bacterium
Lineage: Bacteria
Description: partial 16S ribosomal RNA
Rfam family: Bacterial small subunit ribosomal RNA
Source: RNAcentral
CGUGGGUAACCUGCCUUAUAGUGGGGGAGUAGCCUUUCGAAAGGAAGAUUAAUACCGCAUAAGAUUGUAGUAUCGCAUGAUAUAGCAAUUAAAGGAGCAAUCCGCUAUAAGAUGGACCCGCGUCGCAUUAGCUAGUUGGUGAGGUGAUGGCUCACCAAGGCGACGAUGCGUAGCCGACCUGAGAGGGUGAACGGCCACAUUGGGACUGAGACACGGCCCAGACUCCUACGGGAGGCAGCAUG